GAGAUGCCCCUAAGGAGCAGGACUUGCUUCAGUUAGGCUUUGGUGCUCACUGAGUCUGUCCCUUGAGUGUGUUGCU
RNAcentral lists this microRNA precursor (76 nucleotides) under Myotis myotis. RNAcentral's name for it is "mir-9229 microRNA precursor family". It matches the Rfam family "mir-9229 microRNA precursor family". The record is from Rfam by way of RNAcentral. RNAcentral also lists the same sequence under 1 other name. Lineage: Eukaryota; Metazoa; Chordata; Mammalia; Chiroptera; Vespertilionidae.